AAAGAGUCCCUCCCGACUGUUUACCAAAAACACAGCACUUUGCCAACUCGUAAGAGGAAGUAUAAGGUGUGACGCCUGCCCGGUGCUCGAAGGUUAAGAGGAUGCGUCAGUCGCAAGAUGAAGCGUUGAAUUGAAGCCCGAGUAAACGGCGGCCGUAACUAUAACGGUCCUAAGGUAGCGAAAUUCCUUGUCGGUUAAAUACCGACCUGCAUGAAUGGCGUAACGAGAUGGGAGCUGUCUCAACCAGAGAUUCAGUGAAAUUGUAGUGGAGGUGAAAAUUCCUCCUACCCGCGGCAAGACGGAAAGACCCCGUGGACCUUUACUACAACUUAGCACUGCUAAUGGGAAUAUCAUGCGCAGGAUAGGUGGGAGGCUUUGAAGUAAGGGCUUUGGCUCUUAUGGAGCCAUCCUUGAGAUACCACCCUUGGUGUUUCUGUUAGCUAACUGGCCUGUGUUAUCCACAGGCAGGACAAUGCUUGGUGGGUAGUUUGACUGGGGCGGUC
RNAcentral lists this ribosomal RNA (503 nucleotides) under Helicobacter pylori. Its description in RNAcentral is "bacterial LSU rRNA". It matches the Rfam family "Bacterial large subunit ribosomal RNA", at positions 1783 to 2284 of the family's 2925-position model. The record is from RNAcentral. Lineage: Bacteria; Pseudomonadati; Campylobacterota; Epsilonproteobacteria; Campylobacterales; Helicobacteraceae.